GGAACACCAGCGACCCAACCCCGUCAGAGCAGGAAUGAAGCA
RNAcentral lists this non-coding RNA (42 nucleotides) under uncultured alveolate. The record is from RNAcentral.